RNAcentral lists this long non-coding RNA (660 nucleotides) under Helianthus annuus (common sunflower). RNAcentral's name for it is "sRNA HanXRQr2_Chr17g0784881". The record is from RNAcentral. Lineage: Eukaryota; Viridiplantae; Streptophyta; Magnoliopsida; Asterales; Asteraceae.
GUAUUAGUACAAAAAAUAAAACAAUAACACUUGGGCUUUAGGCUAUGCUGGUGGGUGCGGGGUUCGUCCCGGGCUGGCACCCGAUGACGUGACGUCUACGUGACGGAUCAUCCCAAAAAGAUCCUCCACACCCACCAGCCUUAGCCUUAGAAAUCCCAAAACCCAAAGCAUCGAGAAUACACACAACACAACUACCUAGUACUGUAAAAUUAACCGUCGAGUACAGAGAGUACAAAAAUACUUGCGUUUAGUCUUAUAAUACAACGGAAGAAAACACAAUCUCCACUGGCUUUCAACAUCCAUCGCCUUUAUCAACCCGCCGCAAUACGGACACGAUCCCGGCGCCUGUUGUUGCCCCACGACCCGCUCAUCUUCAUCGCACACAAACACUAAACACAUCUUCAAUUCUCUAUCCAAACAACGAUGAUUAUUGGACACGCAGCAGUUGAUGGUUUUUGCACAACUAUCUGCGAUCAAGGUGGAUGUGAUAUUUAUUUAUAGGAUGAUGUUUAAGGUGCUAUGCAGGGGGUGUUGUAUGCUGUGCAAGUGAAGUUGUACGGUGAUUUGGAUUGGGGGUACGUGUCCGUAACGUGUUGAUGUGUACAAAAUAAGUUUAUGUACGUUGUGUAUAAUUGAAUGAAUAUGGCUGAAUACAUUAUU